UGGCCACUCCGUGUACGGUAAAUGGUGUCAAAUGUAGCAGCGCUGCAGCACUAAGAAUUACGGUAAGUAUUUACGACACAGGUUGCUAGGCGCCAACUGCAUGUCGACGGUGUUUGGAUCAACUCUGAACUGCAGGGACUCACUUGUCGAACCAGCUACCAAAGACUACAAAAUAAACAACUAAUGGCCCAUGUGAUCAAAAGUAACUCAGCUCAUGUGAGCAGAAAUGCUCAUCUUGGCACUCAGCGUCUUGGAUCUCAAUCCCUAACUCAUACAGGAUCUCAAGAGUUGCAGUUUGAUGACAGAGGGAUGCUUCUUCCGCACUGCAUCCUGGGAGGUUUGGAUGACUUUAGGAAGUAUCUGAUCACAAGAGGAGAGACAGAGCUGGCGAAGCAAAUACCAACUUCCCAUAGAGACCCUCCAUCCCAGGUGCUUGGGAAGCAACCUUCUGAGAUGGCCCAGAACAAGCGAACCAUUCCUUUUGGUCAAAGAGACUUGAAGGCAAAUGCUCUGCAAAAUUGGGAUGCAUAUAUAAGACUCAAAAGACGACAGCAGAACGUCUUAUCUGGCCAGCUCCAAAGGCCUGUGGAGAACUUACUGAUGAACCGAGAUUACGGUUUCAAAGAAAUCCAGAAGCAGAGAGAACUUCUAAGACAUGUCAUGCCAACCAUCCAGUCAGGAUAUGGGUACCAUGUGGGAAGUGAGUUUUGGAGUCUCCCACAGAGCUAUGGAAAUGAACUAAGCGGCAUCAGAGCCACACUUAACCUGACGGAGCAAGGCAAACCAAAACUUGUCACACUGAUCGGACAACCACAGAGCAUACUCCAGGAAUCAGGAAUCACUUGUGCUGAGAAGCUGCGUCCAGUCUCUCGGAUUUGGGACCCAAAUACGAACAUGCUUCGCCAUCGUAACUCAAUUAAAAAGGUUGUAGGAGGCAUGGACAUCAACAGGACGGACCUCAGCAAGCUGGAGGUGAUUGGUUCGAGCAAACCAGUUGCCAAAGAGCGCCACAGCCGCUUGUUGAAGGAGGAGGCGGGCGAGAACAAGGAGAGCUGCAAGAUUAACAACGAAAAUGUUGAUGUGAUGACACUUUACGAUGAUCGUCAGUCUCACAGUUUGCUCAUUCCUGCCUUGAUGUUUGCUGGUCAGCUUGCCUGCUGGGCUGGAAACUCUCCUAGUCGGCAGGGAGAGGUAAGCAUCAGCGCGACCGUAACGUUUGAGGCGGCUGUCGGCGAGCGAGUCUUGUCUUACCUUCAGAUACACAACGUGGGCAGCACUGCCAUCCUCUUCAGCUGGCAGAAUCUUCCCCUUCAACCGAAAUUCUCCAACCUACAGUCACAUUCCGACAACCCGCACUUCUACUUCAACACCACCUCUGGUGUCAUCUAUCCAGGUGGCACCCAGCUUGUGGAGUUUAUAUUUAAGUCCGAGAGAAUCGGCAUUGUAACUGAACAGUGGCAGCUCAGCACCCACCCUUUACUGCUGCAAGGAGCCUCCAUUCAGGUCACACUGAAGGGGGUGUCGCUCUACCAGGAUGCAACUGAAAAACAGAGGCAAGUCCUACAGACAAAGUUGGAACAGAGAGUAAGACAGGAGAUGUGCCAGAUGAUAAUGUACGAUGUGCUGCGGGGAAUCCGGAGUCCAGAGAGAUCCAUCUCUCCUGCAGAGCCAUACAAGUUGCAGUACCUUGAUCAGACAGAGGAGGACCUAAAGAAGCUUUUGCAAGAAAUGAAUCCAGAUCGUGUUUGGAAGCUCUCUGGAACACCUGGACAGAUAACCACAGAGAACCAGACCACACACAUGCAGAAGAGAUGUCAGAGUGAUGGGGCGCGCAACCGUUGACUGCGCCCCUGAGCUGAGACUGGGGAUGUUCGGUGCCUUGCUCACGGGCACCUCAACAGUAGUCAGAUGAUCCUCUGAUGGAUGACCAAAUGGACAGCCAGCGUGUUUCCAGGGAUAAGUUCAAUGAUGGAGAUGAGCAAGACACUCACUGUUAUGACACAAUAGAAACAGACGGCUGAACAUACUGUAUAUUUAAUGGCCAUUAGGUACAUUACAUCUUUCUUUUCUAAGAAAAGAACCUAAUUCAAUUUAGAAUGUUAAUAAACAAUGAUCACGUGAUUGACAACUGAAGGGAUAUUUAUUUACCAAUAUAUUGAUUGUUGUUGCAAUUUGCACUGGUUUACAACUUGCUCAGUGGAAACUGCGAUAUUUUCGUGGUGAUAGCACAAUUUUAUUGGAUUGUAUAACUCGGUGGCUCUCAAACUUUUUUCACGAAGUACCACCUCAGAAAAACUUGGCUCUUCAACAGGGUAUCCAACGAGUCUAAAAAAGUCUUAAAUCCAAUAAUUUGAAUUUAAGGCCUUAAAAUGUUUAAAAUUCUCCUAAAAUCUCAUAAAAGGUCUUAAAUACAAUUUUGAAAGGUCUUAAAAAAUAUAUUUUGACGUUACUUUUAUUUGAAACAUGCAUAAACUUCAGUCUCGCUUUGAAAUGUUUCGAUUUUUGAGGACUCUAUAACGUAACUACACAGCGGAACUAACUGUGUUAUAGUUUGGCAAUUGUUUUAUUCUGACUUCCAAACAAAUCUUGGUUCGCAACAGAGAGGUGUCAGGUUCAAACACUGAUGACAUCUAUUAAACAGACAAGAAGCAAGGAAUCAUGCAGAGACAGAGUUAUAUUUGGCUCAAAUGAGGAGAGAUGUUUUUUUGGCUGUACUCUAGUUACAGAUCCAAACUACGCUCUAAAGUCCAGCCCACAUGCUUCCUGUAUUUAUCUGCGAGGUCCCUGGUUACAUCACUGAAGCUGCCGCUGAAGGAAGGGAGUAAUCUCAACAGCCCCAGUUAGACACAAUAUAUGACUAUUAAUGAAAUGCAAUUGUGCUGACACUCGUGAUAUCGCCCUGUCUCUACUUUGUCUGCGUCACGGUACUCGAUGUUUGGCCUUGGCAGUCAGCAGGCCGAUUCUGGAAACAAACACUGAUGCGAGACGACUGGCUUUGCACAGAUAGAAAAAGUACAACUUCAGCACAAUUGAUAAUAACUAUAGCAACGGCCCUUAAGCAUAAAAGUUGUGCGAUAAUAUAUACAUGAUUAUUCUAACAAGAGGUUUCUGGUGUUUGUAGUUAGGUUAAGCGUUUUGUAU
RNA transcript from Entelurus aequoreus (snake pipefish), 3141 nucleotides. It is a transcript of the gene named mycbp associated protein, with no coding region annotated. Lineage: Eukaryota; Metazoa; Chordata; Actinopteri; Syngnathiformes; Syngnathidae. The record is from RefSeq and is a predicted model, not a curated record. The transcript has 15 exons.